GUAGGUGAACCUGCGGAAGGAUCAUUAUCGAGUAUAAAAAGGUGAUGUCUGGCAAUUCGUUGUCCAGUCAUUGCCAUGACCCAUUUCACACGUGCAUCAGCUGGCUCUAGGGUCAGCGGAUUAUUUUUUCUUCUAUGCGUCUCUGACAUAUAAUGGUGAAUGUUGUAUGCAACAUUUCACUAAAAACUUAUAAAUCAAAACUAUGAACAACGGAUCUCUUGGCUCUU
Molecule: unclassified non-coding RNA, 227 nt
Filed under: rhizosphere metagenome
Description: partial ribosomal RNA internal transcribed spacer region
Source: RNAcentral